This 468-nucleotide ribosomal RNA is filed under the name uncultured bacterium. Its description in RNAcentral is "partial 16S ribosomal RNA". It matches the Rfam family "Bacterial small subunit ribosomal RNA", at positions 28 to 507 of the family's 1533-position model. The record is from RNAcentral.
GACGAACGCUGGCGGCGUGCUUAACACAUGCAAGUCGAACGGAAAGGCCCUGCUUUUUUGGGCUGCUCUAGGUGCGAACUGGUAAUUUACACUUGAGUUACCUGCCCUUGACUUUGGUAUAACUUCAUGAAACUGGAUCUAAUAGCAGCUAGGAUCUACCGCUGCAGGGUGGGGGUGCGAAGGUUUCGCUGGUUGGGGAUGGACUCGCGUCCUAUAAGAUUGUUGGUUGGGUAGUGGAUUACCAAGGCUUUGCCGGGUAGCCGGCCUGAGCGGGUGACAGGACAAAUUGGGACUGAGAUACGGCCCAGACUACUACGGGAGGCAGGAGUGGGGAAUAUUGCACAAUGGGCGGAAGCCUAAUGCAGCACAGCAGCGUGCGGGAUGACGGGAUUCGGGUUGUAUAGUGCAUUCGUCUGUGACGAAGCGUGAGUGACGGUAAUGGGUAAAGAAGCACCGGCUAACUACGUG